Xiphophorus couchianus (Monterrey platyfish) is the source of this 1143-nucleotide long non-coding RNA. RefSeq lists it as uncharacterized. The transcript has 3 exons. Lineage: Eukaryota; Metazoa; Chordata; Actinopteri; Cyprinodontiformes; Poeciliidae. The record is from RefSeq and is a predicted model, not a curated record.
UGCACUUGCAAGUGAAAAUGGCUGCAAACAGAUGAGCAAUUAUACAACCAUAGCUGAAGAAUAUCCUGCUGAACAAACAAGAAAGUGGUGUCUGAAUGCUCCUGAGGAAAAUGGUUCUUUCAUCUGACCAGGAUCAAAGUCGAACUCUGACACAGAACAUGUCUGUCUGAGGAGGAACCUGCACCUGUGGAACAAAAAAAACUGGAGCCCGACCACAAAGGAUGCACAAAGACCAACCUGGUUCUGAAGCCCAUUACCAGCCUGUCGUCUACAUUCCUACAAGCGAUGACACCAGAAUCCGACCCUGAUGAUGUGUUAAGUCUCUGACUGGGCUCUAAGUCUGCUUUGAGGUGCACAAGGUUUUGCAUGACCUCCUUCUGACAAACUUCUGGGACCAACUUUAUUCCUCUAAACUUUUUGGGUGUCUUUCCAUGUGUAGCAGUGGAGUUGAUGAAGUAGCUAAAAAGGCCAGUAACAGGAUGUCAUUUUGGUAUUUCAUGCUUGUACCGUCUUUGACUGUACUUCUGUGAAAGCUGUUUUCUUUUUGUGUUCUUCAGCCCAACAUUCUGUAUUAAAUGUGUCAUAAUUUCUGAUUUGAUAUGAAAGAAGGGUUCACAUGUGUGAAAAUAUAAAAGCUGUGCAAUGUGUAAUUAACAUUACUUAGUGCAGUUUUCUAAGAGAUGCAUAUAAAUCUGAGAAAAGGCUGUACUAUUUUGACAGAUAGAAGCGGUACUGGUGCAAGAUUUUCUUCAACAAAUGGUCAGCACUGACAUUGAAACACCAACCUUUCAUGAGUGUAUAGGCUGAGAGAUUUAUAAAGGCAACUAUUUAAAUAAAUAUACUGUACCUGCUGAAACAGGAGGAUUAACUGCCUCAAGGCAGGAAGAAGCAAUGGUUAAAAACUUGUUCUGUCUACAACUAAAGUUUAAAUAUUAAUUGAUGUAUGCUGUCUCAGUUUAUAGAAAAAAUAUACCUAACAAUGAAAUCCUUACUUUAAAAGAGAUUUUUAAUCUGCCUGUAUAGUUUUAUUUAUUGAUCUAUUAUUUAUGUCUUUCAGUUGUUUUCUAUUCACUUGUUCAAUCAUUUAAUUACUUCUUCGUUCAGUCAUUCCUUCAGUCAAUCAGUCAUUUGAUUAUUUAUUUA